AUGAGCAUCAUGAGCGCCGCCAAUGGGAAGAGCCCCAUAGUGGUUGGGCCCUGGGGAGGGACAGGAGGAUACCCCUGGGACGACGGCGUGUACUCGACGGUGUGCCAGAUCAUGAUCACCCAUGGCGCAGCCGUCGACUCGAUAAGAAUCCAGUAUGACCUCAAAGGGCACUCGAUCUGGUCGCAGACGCACGGGAGCACGGAGGACGGGUCUGAAACAGACAAGGUGAAGCUGGAUGUUCCCGGGGAAACCCUACUGUCCGUGAGCGGCCACUACGGAUCGGUCUGCGGGAGCCCGAUCAUCAUAAGAUCGCUGACGUUCCAGAGCAACCGCUCCAAGUACGGGCCCUUCGGCACCGAGGACGGCACGCCCUUCUCGCUCCCGGUGAGCAGCGGCAAGAUCAUCGGCUUCCAUGGACGGUCCGGGUCGUACCUCAACUCCAUCGGCUUCUACCUGAAGCAGGUCCACGUUCCGAUCCCGAGUCCCCCGAGCUACCCAGCCUCGCCGCAGAUCCCGACGGCGGCGGCGUACAGCAGACAUGGCUACACCGUCGCCGAGGUCGAUGAUGAGCCUGAGCACGACAUGGCCCUCGCGGUGCGGGACCGGGCCGACGGCUACGCCGUCUACGGCGCCGGUUACCCUAAGCAGCAGUACGCGCAUCCGUCCCCGGACUACCACGAUGGAUCGAUCAUGAACAAGAUGGUCUCGUACCCUAGCUCGUACAGGGCGGCGGCGAUGAGCGGGCCGGAGACGCACGGGCCCUGGGGCGGCAGCGGCGGCACCAUCUUCGACGACGGCGUGUACACCGGCGUGUGGCAGAUCAACCUGACCCGCGCGGUGGGGGUCACCUCCAUGAAGGUGCUGUACGACCGGCACGGGCAGGCGGUUUGGGGCAACAAGCACGGCUUCAGCAGCGGCGUCCCGCCCGACAAGAUCGCGUUCGACUUCCCGACGGAGGUGCUGACCCACAUCACCGGCUACUACGGCCCGACGAUCAUCAUGGGCCCGACGGCGGUGCGGUCGCUGACGUUCCACACCAACCGGCGGCGCUACGGGCCCUACGGCGACGAGUACGGCACAUACUUCUCCACCAGCUUCGCCGACGGGCGCGUCGUGGGGUUCCACGGCCGGGAGGGGUGGUACAUCGACGGUAUCGGCGUGCACGUGCAGCGGGGCAAGGUGCCGUCGUCCUCCCUCAGGCGGGCCGCCAGCAGGAGUCCGUCGCCGGCUCCGCGGUCCGACUACGAUCCGGGCGACGUGGACGAGGAGGUGCCCUACGCGGCCAUGGUGAAGGAGCCGGCGGCGGCGGGGCCGGGUCCCUGGGGCGGGCCGGGGGGCCGGGCGUGGGACGACGGCGUGUACGCCGGCGUGAACCAGGUGUACGUGACGCGGGGCGCCCUCAUCGGCUCCAUCCAGAUCCAGUACGACCGCGGCGACCGGUCGGAGUGGUCGGCCAGGCACGGCACCUCCGGCCACAUCACGCACCGGGUGAAGCUGGACGCGCCGCACGAGGUGCUCACCUGCGUGCGCGGCUACUACAACGCCGACCCGGCCGAGGGGCCCCGCGCGCUGCGCUCCAUCACCUUCGUCAGCAACCGCGGCAGGUACGGCCCGUUCGGGGACGAGGUCGGCACCUACUUCUCGUCGCCGGCGACGGCCGAGGGGAAGGUGGUCGGGUUCCACGGCCGGAGCGGGCAGCACUUGGAUGCCAUUGGGGUGCACAUGCAGCACUGGCAAGGGGACCGCCGGGCUGGGCCCAAAUACGUGCUAUCCAAAUACCUCUUCUGA
RNAcentral lists this ribosomal RNA (1788 nucleotides) under Triticum aestivum (bread wheat). RNAcentral describes it as "partial small subunit ribosomal RNA". The record is from RNAcentral. Lineage: Eukaryota; Viridiplantae; Streptophyta; Magnoliopsida; Poales; Poaceae.